AGCAGCCGCGGUAAUUCCAGCUCCAAUAGCGUAUAUUAAAGUUGUUGCAGUUAAAAAGCUCGUAGUUGAAUUUCGGGACUAAUAUGUCGGUCGUACUUUGUACGUACUAGCAUUAUUGGUUUCUCCCUUCUGACGAACCACGAUGUCAUUAAUUUGGUGUCAUGGGAAAUCAGGACUGUUACUUUGAAAAAAUUAGAGUGUUUAAAGCAAGCUCGCGCUUGAAUACAUUAGCAUGGAAUAAUGAAAUAGGACGUUUGAUUCUAUUUUGUUGGUUUCUAGGAUCGACGUAAUGAUUAAUAGGGAUAGUUGGGGGCAUUAGUAUUCAAUUGUCAGAGGUGAAAUUCUUGGAUUUAUUGAAGACUAACUACUGCGAAAGCAUUUGCCAAGGAUGUUUUCAUUAAUCAAGAACGAAAGUUAGGGGAUCGAAGACGAUCAGAUACCGUCGUAGUCUUAACCAUAAACUAUGCCGACUAGGGAUCGG
Molecule: ribosomal RNA, 481 nt
Filed under: uncultured Glomus
Lineage: Eukaryota; Fungi; Glomeromycota; Glomeromycetes; Glomerales; Glomeraceae
Description: SSU rRNA
Rfam family: Eukaryotic small subunit ribosomal RNA
Source: RNAcentral